UACGUAGGGUGCAAGCGUUGUCCGGAAUUAUUGGGCGUAAAGAGCUCGUAGGCGGUUUGUCGCGUCUGCUGUGAAAACUCGGGGCUUAACCCCGGGCCUGCAGUGGGUACGGGCAGACUAGAGUGCGGUAGGGGAGACUGGAAUUCCUGGUGUAGCGGUGGAAUGCGUAGAGAUCCGGAAGAACACCGGUGGCGAAGACGGUCUGCUGGGGUCGAACUGACGCUGAGGCGCGACAGCGUGGGGAGCAAACAGG
RNAcentral lists this ribosomal RNA (253 nucleotides) under uncultured bacterium. Its description in RNAcentral is "partial 16S ribosomal RNA". It matches the Rfam family "Bacterial small subunit ribosomal RNA", at positions 524 to 776 of the family's 1533-position model. The record is from RNAcentral.